CUGGAGCUCAGAGGCCCGAUCACAGCUCACUGAAGCCUCAACCUCCCUGGCUCAAGUGUUUCUCUCACCUCAGCCCUCCUAAGUAACUGAGACUACAGUUACUUGGAGGUGAAAGUUGUAAGACAAAGAGUAUGUGGGAAGAAUGAAAAUAACAGUUCUAUUGAAACAAGGAAUGAAAACUCUGCCCCUAAGCUGACAUGGUUUAUGACUGACGAUGUCACCAAAUUGUGGAGAAGCACUCAUUAACAUAACUGAACAAUAGUUUUGAAAGCUCUUGUACAAGAUACAAGUAGCCAUAAGACUUACUGGCCUGGUGUGUGGAGACUUCAGAGGAGGUAGGGCAACUCUUCUAGGUGCCAUGAGCAAGCCCCAUUAAACUAAAGAAAUCAAAUCACCUCAUUCUUAAAGUCUUGAGAAGAUGAGAUAAACUUAAAAGCUUUCAACUGUGAAAGAACAGAAACAAAGCUCGCUGGAGAGAUGGGAUCUGAAUAGUCAAAUCAUUUUGAAUAGGCACUAUGUACUUGGGAACUUCUGCAUGAGCAAGUGAUUCUUGGAUAUUCCUGUAAAUCCAUUCUGAAUAUGGAAAUAAUCUUCGGGCCGGGCGCGGUGGCUCACUCCUGUAAUCCCAGCACUUUGGGAAGCCGAGGCGGGCAGAUCACGAGGUCAGGAGAUGCAGACCAUCUUGGCUAACACGGUGAAACCCCAUCUCUACUAAAAAUACAAAAAAGUUAGCGGGGCGUGGUGGCGGGCGCCUGUAGUCCCAGUUACUCAGGAGGCUGAGGCAGGAGAACUGCGUGAACCCGGGAGGCGUAGCUUGCGG
This 820-nucleotide long non-coding RNA is filed under the name Homo sapiens (human). RNAcentral describes it as "HSALNT0072781". The record is from RNAcentral. Lineage: Eukaryota; Metazoa; Chordata; Mammalia; Primates; Hominidae.